This 86-nucleotide transfer-messenger RNA is filed under the name Anaerolineaceae bacterium. Its description in RNAcentral is "partial transfer-messenger RNA". It matches the Rfam family "transfer-messenger RNA", at positions 287 to 374 of the family's 374-position model. Rfam says of the family: Bacterial tmRNA, also known as 10Sa RNA or SsrA, is named for its dual tRNA and mRNA-like properties. Its role is to liberate the mRNA from a stalled ribosome. The record is from RNAcentral. Lineage: Bacteria; Bacillati; Chloroflexota; Anaerolineae; Anaerolineales; Anaerolineaceae.
CAGUCAAAUUAUAGACAGACUAAGCAUGUAGCUGCCGGUGUGCGUAGGGCUUGCGGACGCGGGUUCGAUUCCCGCCGCCUCCACCA